Molecule: small nuclear RNA, 107 nt
Filed under: Microcebus murinus (gray mouse lemur)
Lineage: Eukaryota; Metazoa; Chordata; Mammalia; Primates; Cheirogaleidae
Source: RNAcentral
GUGCUUGCUUUGGCAGCACAUAUACUAAAAUUGGAACCAUACAGAGAAGACUAGCAUGGCCCCUGCGCAUGGAUGACAUGCAGAUUCGUGAAGCAUUCCAUUUUUUU